GAUGAACGCUGGCGGCGUGCCUAAUACAUGCAAGUCGAGCGAACGGACGAGAAGCUUGCUUUUCUGAUGUUAGCGGCGGACGGGUGAGUAACACGUGGAUAACCUACCUAUAAGACUGGGAUAACUUCGGGAAACCGGAGCUAAUACCGGAUAAUAUUUUGAACCGCAUGGUUCAAAAGUGAAAGACGGUCUUGCUGUCACUUAUAGAUGGAUCCGCGCUGCAUUAGCUAGUUGGUAAAGUAACGGCUUACCAAGGCAACGAUGCAUAGCCGACCUGAGAGGGUGAUCGGCCACACUGGAACUGAGACACGGUCCAGACUCCUACGGGAGGCAGCAGUAGGGAAUCUUCCGCAAUGGGCGAAAGCCUGACGGAGCAACGCCGCGUGAGUGAUGAAGGUCUUCGGAUCGUAAAACUCUGUUAUUAGGGAAGAACAUAUGUGUAAGUAACUGUGCACAUCUUGACGGUACCUAAUCAGAAAGCCACGGCUAACUACGUG
RNAcentral lists this ribosomal RNA (497 nucleotides) under uncultured bacterium. RNAcentral describes it as "partial 16S ribosomal RNA". It matches the Rfam family "Bacterial small subunit ribosomal RNA", at positions 28 to 507 of the family's 1533-position model. The record is from RNAcentral.